UUUGGCGGCCAUAGCGGUGGGGAUACACCUCUUCCCAUUCCGAACAGAGAAGUUAAGCCCACUUGCGCCGAUGGUACUCGGAGGGCAACCUCCCGGGAGAGUAGGCAGCCGCCAACU
This 117-nucleotide ribosomal RNA is filed under the name Actinomycetes bacterium. Lineage: Bacteria; Bacillati; Actinomycetota; Actinomycetes. The record is from RNAcentral.